Molecule: ribosomal RNA, 497 nt
Filed under: uncultured bacterium
Lineage: Bacteria
Description: partial 16S ribosomal RNA
Rfam family: Bacterial small subunit ribosomal RNA
Source: RNAcentral
GAUGAACGCUGGCGGCGUGCCUAAUACAUGCAAGUCGAGCGAACGGACGAUAAGCUUGCUUUCCUGAUGUUAGCGGCGGACGGGUGAGUAACACGUGGAUCACCUACCUAUAUGACUUUGAUAACUUCGUGAAACCGGAUCUAAUACCGGAUCAUAUUUUGAACCGCAUGGUUCAAAAGUAAAAGACGGUCUUGCUGUCACUUAUAGAUGGUUUCGCGCUGCAUUAGCUAGUUGGUAAGGUAACGGCUUACCAAGGCAACGAUGCAUAGCUGACCUGAGAGGGUGAUCGGCCACACUGGAACUGAGAAAAGGUCCAGACUCCUACGGGAGGCAGCAGUGGGGAAUAUUGCGCAAUGGGCGAAAGCCUGACGGAGCAAAGCCGCGUGGGUGAUGAAGGUAUUCGGAUCGUAAAACUCUGUUGUUAGGGAAGAACAUAUGUGUAAGUAAAUGUGCACAUCUUGACGGUACCUAAUGAGAAAGCCACGGCUAACUACGUG